GCUUGUCUCAAAGAUUAAGCCAUGCAUGUCUAAGUAUAAACAAAUCUAUACUGUGAAACUGCGAAUGGCUCAUUAUAUCAGUUAUAGUUUAUUUGAUGGUUCUUGCUACUUGGAUAACCGUAGUAAUUCUAGAGCUAAUACAUGCAUCAAACCCCGACUCACGAAGGGGUGUAUUUAUUAGAUGGAAACCAAUGCGGGGCAACCCGGAUUAUGGUGAUUCAUAAUAACUUUCAGAUCGAUCGCAAGAUCGAUGCAUCAUUCAAGUUUCUGCCCUAUCAGCUUUGGAUGGUAGGGUAUUGGCCUACCAUGGCUUUAACGGGUAACGGAGAAUUAGGGUUCGAUUCCGGAGAGGGAGAGAAAUGGCUACCACAUCCAAGGAAGGCAGCAGG
This 389-nucleotide ribosomal RNA is filed under the name uncultured Chrysophyceae. Its description in RNAcentral is "partial small subunit ribosomal RNA". It matches the Rfam family "Eukaryotic small subunit ribosomal RNA", at positions 30 to 432 of the family's 1831-position model. Lineage: Eukaryota; Chrysophyceae. The record is from RNAcentral.